Mytilus californianus (California mussel) is the source of this 565-nucleotide long non-coding RNA. RefSeq lists it as uncharacterized. NCBI's taxonomy places the organism in Eukaryota, Metazoa, Mollusca, Bivalvia, Mytilida, Mytilidae. The record is from RefSeq and is a predicted model, not a curated record. The transcript has 2 exons.
AUGAGAAAGAAAAAUUCCAUUUCACACAACGAUUCAACAAAUACCGAUAACUCGACUAGACGGUCGCUUACAGAAACAAAGAUUGCGUUCGCCAACGUAACAGUGGUUGUAUCUGCAGUAUUCUGUAUUUGUUAUAUUCCUUUUUUGGUUCGAUUGCUGUAUGACGUCAUUGUAACAAAUGUGAAGACGCAGGAUGAUUUAUAUCAUUCGAUCACGAUGUCGUUAUUAUUUUUGGCACCAUUAUUGAAUCCAGUCGUCUACGUUAUUUGUAAUAAACGUUACCGUUCCUUUAUAGCUAAUUCUCUCAGAAGGAGAAUUUCUAAUUUGUGCUGGAAACGGUCAAAUAAAAUAGAUUUAACUGACAAUAAUUCAUCAUUAGUUUCAAAUUCAAAGAAGAUUACGACGACGUCUGUGUUAUAAGAAAAAAAAAAAAAAACCCAAAAAAACAAAACAGGAAAGUUAAUAUUUAAAGAGUACUGUAUGCAUUUCAUUAUAUGAAAUAUUUGAAACAAUUGUCACAUUAAACCUAGAGAUAUCUGAACAUAUUUUAAUAAUGUCAAUUGUU